GUGCUCGCUUCAGCAGCACAUCUACUAAAAUUGGACUAAAACAGAUUAGCAUGGCCCCUGCAUAAGGAUGACAUGCAAAUUCCUGAAAUCAGAUCAGCCUUA
Small nuclear RNA from Lemur catta (Ring-tailed lemur), 102 nucleotides. Lineage: Eukaryota; Metazoa; Chordata; Mammalia; Primates; Lemuridae. The record is from RefSeq and is a predicted model, not a curated record.